CCCGCACAAGCGGUGGAGCAUGUGGUUUAAUUCGACGCAACGCGAAGACCUUACCAGGGCUUGACAUCCCCUGACCGCGUAUGAAAGUACGUUUUCACCCUCGGGUGACAGGGAGACAGGUGGUGCAUGGUUGUCGUCAGCUCGUGUCGUGAGAUGUUGGGUUAAGUCCCGCAACGAGCGCAACCCCUACAUUUAGUUGCUAACGCGUGAAGGCGAGCACUCUAGACGAACUGCCGUUGACAAAACGGAGGAAGGUGGGAUGACGUCAAAUCAUCAUGCCCCUUAUGUUCUGGGCUACACACGUGCUACAAUGGCCGGUACAGACGGACGCAAAGCCGCGAGGCGGAGCAAAUCCGAAAAAGCCGGUCUCAGUUCGGAUUGCAGGCUGCAAUUCGCCUGCAUGAAGUCGGAAUCGCUAGUAAUCGCAGGUCAGCAUACUGCGGUGAAUACGUUCCCGGGCCUU
Molecule: ribosomal RNA, 463 nt
Filed under: uncultured Pelotomaculum sp.
Lineage: Bacteria; Bacillati; Bacillota; Clostridia; Eubacteriales; Desulfotomaculaceae
Description: bacterial SSU rRNA
Rfam family: Bacterial small subunit ribosomal RNA
Source: RNAcentral